GCUGGCGGCAGGCCUAAUACAUGCAAGUCGAGCGCAUUCUUCGGAAUGAGCGGCGGACGGGUGAGUAACGCGUGGGAAUAUGCCCUUCUCUAAGGAAUAGCCUCUGGAAACGGAGAGUAAUACCUUAUACGCCCUUCGGGGGAAAGAUUUAUCGGAGAAGGAUUAGCCCGCGUUAGAUUAGGUAGUUGGUGGGGUAAUGGCCUACCAAGCCUACGAUCUAUAGCUGGUUUGAGAGGAUGAUCAGCCACACUGGGACUGAGACACGGCCCAGACUCCUACGGGAGGCAGCAGUAGGGAAUCUUAGACAAUGGGGGAAACCCUGAUCUAGCCAUGCCGCGUGUGUGAUGAAGGCCCUAGGGUCGUAAAGCACUUUCGCCAGAGAUGAUAAUGACAGUAUCUGGUAAAGAAACCCCGGCUAACUCCGUGCCAGCAGCCGCGGUAAUACGGAGGGGGUUAGCGUUGUUCGGAAUUACUGGGCGUAAAGCGCACGUAGGCGGAUUAGUAAGUUAAGGGUGAAAUCCCAGGGCUCAACCCUGGAACUGCCCUUAAUACGGCCAGUCUUGAGUUCGAGAGAGGUAAGUGGAAUUCCGAGUGUAGAGGUGAAAUUCGUA
This 611-nucleotide ribosomal RNA is filed under the name uncultured marine bacterium. Its description in RNAcentral is "bacterial SSU rRNA". It matches the Rfam family "Bacterial small subunit ribosomal RNA", at positions 35 to 692 of the family's 1533-position model. The record is from RNAcentral.